RNA transcript from Felis catus (domestic cat), 1879 nucleotides. It is a transcript of the gene named WD repeat domain 73, with no coding region annotated. The transcript is spliced from 9 exons. The record is from RefSeq and is a predicted model, not a curated record. Lineage: Eukaryota; Metazoa; Chordata; Mammalia; Carnivora; Felidae.
AGCCGGCCGCGCCCACUUCUCGCGAGACGUUCGCGCCUGCCCGGGAAGGUUCUCAGAGGCGGAAGUGGAGUAGCGGAAGCGGCGUUGCCAUGGAGUCAGCGGAGGACUGGCUGGUGGAAUCCUUGCGCUUGUACCAAGAUUUCCAUGCAUUCGACCUUUCCGAAGCCACACGAGUCCUUGAAUGGAUUGAUGACAAAGGAGUCUGUGUUGCUGGCUAUGAAAGCUUGAAAAAAAAUGAGAUUCUUCAUCUGUUACUACCUCUCAGACUUUCUGUAAAAGAAAACCAGGGCUUAUUCCCAGAAAGAGAUUUCAAGGUACGCCACGGAGGAUUUUCAGACACGUCUGUCUUUGAUCUGAAGCACGUGCUGGACACAAGGUUGCUGGUAACCAGUGGUCUUCCAGGUUGUCACCUGCAUGUGUGGCAGGUGACAGAGGACAGUGACGUCAUUCAAGCUGUCAGCACCAUUGCCGUGCAGGAGGAGGAGGGGAGUCUCUGGCCUAGGGUGGCCAUCUUCUCUUCGAUGGCCCCCGGAGUCCUGCACGGGGCGAGGCUCCGCGGUCUGAAGGUUGUGGAUCUGGAAACUCAGAAGACCACGUACUCCUCAGGGGUCGGAGACAGUGAGGAGCUGAGCAGCCUGCAGGUCCUGGACGCAGACACCUUUGCCUUCUGCUGUGCCUCGGGCCGGCUGGGGCUCGUUGACAUCCGCCAGAAGUGGGCGCCGUCAGAGAAUGCCGGCCCCGGCCCCGGGGCCACUGCAAGGAGGUGGUGUGCUGAAGUUGGGGGCCGACACCGGGGCCCUGGGCCCAGCAUUGCCAGCCUUGGCUCAGACGGGCAGCUCUGUCUCCUUGAUCCCCGGGAUCUCUGCCACCCUGUGAGCUCGGGGCGGUGCCCCGUGUCCGCACCGAGCCCUGCCCCAGAGCUGCUGCGAGUGACCUGGGCUCCAGGCCUGGACGACUGCCUGGCCAUUUCAGGUUUUGAUGGGACAGUCCAGGUCUAUGAUGCCACAUCUUGGGACGGAACGGGGGGCCAAGUAGAACCUGUCUUCACUCACAGAGGUCACAUCUUCCUGGAAGACAAUCAGACAGAUACUGCGCCACUGGUCACUACCCACACCUGGCACCCCCACAAGCCGAGGACCUUGUUAUCGGCAGCAAGCGACGCCUCUCUGCACGUGUGGGACUGGGUGGACCGCCGUGCGGCCUGCUGACUCCAGCCUCUCCCUGCCCAGGCCUCUAAGAAGAGAAGGAGCUACCGGAAAGCCAAGGAAGUUUUCCGGAAGUCCCGGGGAUCGUCAUUCCAAAGCUCUUCACUUCUCUCUGGCCUCGAGACCCCGUCUGGCUGGCGGACUGGAAGUCCUACUCGAGGAAAAUCAAGAAGGGACAUGGAGUUCUUAUGCAAUUUGCCUUCUGUUCUUUUAUCUGGACGUGGUGGGUGAAAUGAGAAUGGAAACACCUACCAGAAAGAUCUGGUUUUCAGAAGAAAUCGUUUAGUGAAUGACUCAGGAAAUGUGCCCCCUUACGUGAGGAGUACAGGGCAAGGUGUUCUUCUAUCUUAACAGUAAGUACAAUGAUGGCGACAAUGAGAAGGAACAUUUGCUGAGGGCCAGCAAUGUCCCAGGAUCCUCCUAACAGCCCAGUGAGCUAGAUACUGUGUCCAUUUUACAGAUGAGACAGUGGAGGCCUAGGUGUUUAACCAGUUUGCCCAAGAACAGAGAAGGCUUUCAGUGGCAGACUGUUGUAUGUAAUACGCACCGGGUAUGUUGGAUGGAAACAAACAACUGGAACUUUACAUCACUCGGACCUCUCUUUCCUCUUAUAAUGGUUACUAAAUAUUAUUUCUAGAAUGUUGUUACUAAAAGCAGACAGGGAGCAGGCAAGA